This 618-nucleotide ribosomal RNA is filed under the name uncultured Clostridium sp. Its description in RNAcentral is "bacterial SSU rRNA". It matches the Rfam family "Bacterial small subunit ribosomal RNA", at positions 59 to 705 of the family's 1533-position model. The record is from RNAcentral. Lineage: Bacteria; Bacillati; Bacillota; Clostridia; Eubacteriales; Clostridiaceae.
AAGUCGAGCGAUUUACUUCGGUAAAGAGCGGCGGACGGGUGAGUAACGCGUGGGUAACCUGCCCUGUACACACGGAUAACAUACCGAAAGGUAUGCUAAUACGAGAUAAUAUGCUUUUAUCGCAUGGUAGAAGUAUCAAAGCUUUUGCGGUACAGGAUGGACCCGCGUCUGAUUAGCUAGUUGGUAAGGUAACGGCUUACCAAGGCGACGAUCAGUAGCCGACCUGAGAGGGUGAUCGGCCACAUUGGAACUGAGACACGGUCCAAACUCCUACGGGAGGCAGCAGUGGGGAAUAUUGCACAAUGGGCGAAAGCCUGAUGCAGCAACGCCGCGUGAGCGAUGAAGGCCUUCGGGUCGUAAAGCUCUGUCCUCAAGGAAGAUAAUGACGGUACUUGAGGAGGAAGCCCCGGCUAACUACGUGCCAGCAGCCGCGGUAAUACGUAGGGGGCUAGCGUUAUCCGGAAUUACUGGGCGUAAAGGGUGCGUAGGUGGUUUCUUAAGUCAGAGGUGAAAGGCUACGGCUCAACCGUAGUAAGCCUUUGAAACUGGGAAACUUGAGUGCAGGAGAGGAGAGUGGAAUUCCUAGUGUAGCGGUGAAAUGCGUAGAUAUUAGGAGGA